RNAcentral lists this ribosomal RNA (253 nucleotides) under uncultured bacterium. RNAcentral describes it as "partial 16S ribosomal RNA". It matches the Rfam family "Bacterial small subunit ribosomal RNA", at positions 524 to 776 of the family's 1533-position model. The record is from RNAcentral.
UACGAAGGGGGCUAGCGUUGUUCGGAAUUACUGGGCGUAAAGGGCGCGUAGGCGGCGUGUCAAGUCAGGCGUGAAAGCCCCGGGCUCAACCUGGGAGCCGCGCUUGAGACUGGCAUGCUCGAGUUCGGGAGAGGAUGGUGGAAUUCCCAGUGUAGAGGUGAAAUUCGUAGAUAUUGGGAAGAACACCGAUGGCGAAGGCAGCCAUCUGGACCGACACUGACGCUGAGGCGCGAAAGCGUGGGGAGCAAACAGG